Molecule: ribosomal RNA, 563 nt
Filed under: uncultured Glomeromycotina
Lineage: Eukaryota; Fungi; Glomeromycota
Description: SSU rRNA
Rfam family: Eukaryotic small subunit ribosomal RNA
Source: RNAcentral
UUGGAGGGCAAGUCUGGUGCCAGCAGCCGCGGUAAUUCCAGCUCCAAUAGCGUAUAUUAAAGUUGUUGCAGUUAAAAAGCUCGUAGUUGAAUUUCGGGGUUAGUAGGUUGGUCGUGCCACUGGUAUGUACUGGUCUCACUGAUUCCUCCUUCCUGAUGAGCCGUAAUGCCAUUAAUUUGGUGUUGCGAGGAAUCUGGACUGUUACUUUGAAAAAAUUAGAGUGUUUAAAGCAAGCUAACGCUUGAAUACAUUAGCAUGGAAUAAUGAAAUAGGACGUUCGAUCCUAUUUUGUUGGUUUCUAGGAUUGACGUAAUGAUUAAUAGGGAUAGUUGGGGGCAUUAGUAUUCAAUUGUCAGAGGUGAAAUUCUUGGAUUUAUUGAAGACUAACUACUGCGAAAGCAUUUGCCAAGGAUGUUUUCAUUAAUCAAGAACGAAAGUUAGGGGAUCGAAGACGAUCAGAUACCGUCGUAGUCUUAACCAUAAACUAUGCCGACUAGGGAUCGGAUGAUGUUAUUUUUAAUGACUCAUUCGGCGCCUUACGGGAAACCAAAGUGUUUGGGUUC